AAAUAUUUCACUGUGGAAGGGGUGUGCACAGCAGGGUGGCCAAUGAUUUGUCAAUGGUGGCCAUGGCCACCCCCUGAGUCUUGGUAAAGUUUGACUAGUUACUGUCAUAUUGUGCAAAACAUGAAUGAGCUACUAUGAGUUUGCACAUAUUGUCUGUUCUAUAUUGUGCAGGAGACACAGCACAUCAGGACCUCAUUGGUUCAAAACAUGACAAGAGUCUGCGAGGUCAUCAGCAACUUGCCUGGUUUCAGCUGCCAACCAGUGGGAGGAGGAGCUUUUGUGUUCUUCAGAAUACAUCUUCCACCCAAGGCCAUCCAAACAGCCAAGGUUUCAGAACAUUCACUUUUUAAUGAAAUUAGGACAGUAAAACCAAAUUUUACACUUUUUUUAAGACAAGAUGUCUGAACAUUUUAGGAAGAAGGAAUGGAACCAGACACAUUUUACUGUAUGAAACUUAUGGAGGAAGCAGGAGUGGUGAGCAGUCCUGGUUGUGGGUUUGGUCAAAAAGAGGGAACAUAUCACAUCAGAAUUAGCAUCAUGACAUCUCAGGACAUCAUGGUGGAAUUACUGGAACGCCUGAGCACCUUUCAUGCAAAGUUUUUUAAAGAGUUUUCUUAAACUAUAAAUAAAGAAAAACAUUACCAUCCAAAUUGAGGGUGGGGCACCCACAAACUUCUCUUGUUGGCAAGCACAUUUAUUUCAAUAAAUGACAAUUUACAAUGUAUUUUAAUGACAUUUGUUUUUACUCAGUCUAUAAUCGAACACUGCUUUUCAGAUAGCAGUUAACCACUCUGCUAACAAAAAACAAAGUCCAAAAUCCAUAGGAUAGAUUUUUUUCCCCCCAACUCUUAAUGGAGUUACAAAGAAAAUAAAGCAGGMGCCAACAGUUCACUUUGGACUUCAGCCUGACAGCUUCCAUUUACUAACAUUAACAGAUUGCUGUAAGUACUUAGAAAAAAAGGAAACAAAA
This is a long non-coding RNA of Austrofundulus limnaeus, 970 nucleotides long. RefSeq lists it as uncharacterized. Lineage: Eukaryota; Metazoa; Chordata; Actinopteri; Cyprinodontiformes; Rivulidae. The transcript has 2 exons. The record is from RefSeq and is a predicted model, not a curated record.